RNAcentral lists this ribosomal RNA (468 nucleotides) under Lepiota sp. RNAcentral's name for it is "SSU rRNA". It matches the Rfam family "Bacterial small subunit ribosomal RNA", at positions 424 to 883 of the family's 1533-position model. The record is from RNAcentral. Lineage: Eukaryota; Fungi; Basidiomycota; Agaricomycetes; Agaricales; Agaricaceae.
UCUUAAUCAUUGUAUUGAUGGUUCUUGAGAUAACGUAAGGGAUAAAAAUGAUAUUACCUUACUAUAAGUGUUGUCCAACAUUACUGGUGCCAGAAGACUCGGUAACGCCAGAAACGCAAACGUUAGUCGUCCUAAACAGGCGUAAAGGGUAAGUAGGCUGCUUUGAAAGUUUUUAAUUAGAAAGCUCUUAAAAAAAAAUUAAAGUAAUUAAUAAUGAAUUAAAGCUAGAAUCAAAUAGGGGAUAAGCCAAAUAAUAUUUAGUGUAAGGCUAAUAUCUUUAGAUACUAAAUGGAAUACUAAGGUGAAAACUUUUAUCUACUAAUGAUUGACGCUGAGGAACGAAGGUGAGAAUAGAAAACAGGAUUAGAGACCCAGGUAUCUCUCACUGUCAACGAUGAAUGGUAGUUGUUAGUUAAAUUAUUAACUAGUAACGAUGUUAACGCGUUAACCAUUCCGCCUUGCGAGUAC